AACGCACCUUGCGCCUUUUGGUAUUCCAAAAGGCACACCUGUUUGAGUGCCAUGAAACCCCUCAACUUCAAUAUUUCUAAUCUGAAGUGUUGAAGGCUUGGAUGUUGAGUGUUGCUGUUAGGCCCUAACAGCUCGCUUUAAAUUAAUUAGCCAUCCCAUUAUUGCUCGGAUUGACUCAGCGUUAUAGCAUUUUCGUUGAGGAUGCCUUAAAUGGCAGCCGAAAAAUAUAGGGUAGCUCAUAACUGCCAUUAGUGCCUUACAUUUUUGACCUCAAAUCAGGUGGGACUACCCGCUGAACUUAA
Molecule: unclassified non-coding RNA, 302 nt
Filed under: uncultured fungus
Lineage: Eukaryota; Fungi
Description: sequence contains ITS2
Source: RNAcentral